Molecule: ribosomal RNA, 493 nt
Filed under: uncultured bacterium
Lineage: Bacteria
Description: partial 16S ribosomal RNA
Rfam family: Bacterial small subunit ribosomal RNA
Source: RNAcentral
AUUGAACGCUGGCGGCAUGCUUUACACAUGCAAGUCGAACGGUAACAGGUUAAGCUGACGAGUGGCGAACGGGUGAGCAAUGCAUCGGAACGUGCCCGGUCGUGGGGGAUAACGCAGCGAAAGCUGCGCUAAUACCGCAUACGAUCUAAGGAGGAAAGCGGGGGACCGUAGUGCCUCGCGCGAUCGAAGCGGCCGAUGUGAGAUUAGGUAGUUGGUGGGGUAAAGGCUCACCAAGCCAACGAUCUGUAGCUGGUCUGAGAGGACGACCAGCCACACUGGAACUGAGACACGGCCCAGACUCCUACGGGAGGCAGCAGUGGGGAAUUUUGGACAAUGGGCGAAAGCCUGAUCCAGCAAUGCCGCGUGCAGGAAGAAGGCCUUCGGGUUGUAAACUGCUUUUGUACGGAGCGAAAAGGUCUCCUCUAAUACAGGGGGCUCAUGACGGUACCGUAAGAAUAAGCACCGGCUAACUACGUGCCAGCCGCCGCAGUAA